Molecule: long non-coding RNA, 208 nt
Filed under: Nicotiana benthamiana
Lineage: Eukaryota; Viridiplantae; Streptophyta; Magnoliopsida; Solanales; Solanaceae
Description: long non-coding RNA (NBEN_LNC000586)
Source: RNAcentral
CCAUUCUCCACGAGACUUUGCUAGAAAAAGAUGGAUGCACAACAACAACAACAAAAACUCAGUAAAUCCCAUAAAUAGGGUCUGAAGAGGGUAGUGUGUACGCAGAACUUACGGCUACCUUAUACAGGUAGAGAGCUUGUUUUCCAUAGACAUUAGGCUCAAGGAAAAGAUGGAUGCACUAGCUCUUUGUUAAAAACAUACACGCGAU